CUACGGGACGCUGCAGUGGGGAAUAUUGCACAAUGGAGGAAACUCUGAUGCAGCAACGCCGCGUGGAGGAUGACACUUUUCGGAGCGUAAACUCCUUUUAUAUAGGAAGAAGAUGACGGUACUAUAUGAAUAAGCGCCGGCUAACUCCGUGCCAGCAGCCGCGGUAAUACGGAGGGCGCAAGCGUUACUCGGAAUCACUGGGCGUAAAGAGCGUGUAGGCGGAUUAAAAAGUCAGAAGUGAGAUCCUAUAGCUUAACUAUAGAACUGCUUCUGAAACUCUUAAUCUAGAAUAUGGGAGAGGUAGAUGGAAUUUCUGGUGUAGGGGUAAGAUCCGUAGAGAUCAGAAGGAAUACCGAUCGCGAAGGCGAUCUACUAGAACAUUAUUGACGCUGAGACGCGAAAGCGUGGGGAGCAAACAGGAUUAGAUACCCCCGUAGUC
Molecule: ribosomal RNA, 439 nt
Filed under: uncultured bacterium
Lineage: Bacteria
Description: partial 16S ribosomal RNA
Rfam family: Bacterial small subunit ribosomal RNA
Source: RNAcentral